GGUAGUGUAGUUAAUAGCUGCAUUAUUUGACGUUAGCGACAGAAGAAGCACCGGCUAACUCCGUGCCAGCAGCCGCGGUAAUACGGAGGGUGCGAGCGUUAAUCGGAAUUACUGGGCGUAAAGACGCAUGCAGGUGGUUUGUUAAGUUCAGAUGUGAAAGACCCGGGGCGUCAACCUCCGGAAUAGCAUUUGAAACUAGGCAGACUAGAGUACUGUAGAGGGGGGUAGGAAGUUUCAGGUGUAGCGGUGAAAUAGCGUAGAGAUCUGAAGGAAUACCGGUGGCGAAGGCGGCCCCCUCGGACAGAUACUGACACUCAGAUGCGAAAGCGUGGGGAGCAAACAGGAUUAGAUACCCUGGUAG
RNAcentral lists this ribosomal RNA (361 nucleotides) under uncultured bacterium. Its description in RNAcentral is "bacterial SSU rRNA". It matches the Rfam family "Bacterial small subunit ribosomal RNA", at positions 443 to 793 of the family's 1533-position model. The record is from RNAcentral.